This 1155-nucleotide ribosomal RNA is filed under the name Listeria monocytogenes. RNAcentral describes it as "partial 23S ribosomal RNA". It matches the Rfam family "Bacterial large subunit ribosomal RNA", at positions 224 to 1375 of the family's 2925-position model. Lineage: Bacteria; Bacillati; Bacillota; Bacilli; Caryophanales; Listeriaceae. The record is from RNAcentral.
AGAAAAAUCGAUUUCCUGAGUAGCGGCGAGCGAAACGGAAAGAGCCCAAACCAAGAAGCUUGCUUCUUGGGGUUGUAGGACACUCUAUACGGAGUUACAAAAGAAAGUUAUAAAUGAAGCGGUCUGGAAAGGCCCGCCAAAGACGGUAACAGCCCGGUAGUUGAAAUGGCUUUCCCUCCAGAGUGGAUCCUGAGUACGGCGGAACACGUGAAAUUCCGUCGGAAUCCGGGAGGACCAUCUCCCAAGGCUAAAUACUCCCUAGUGACCGAUAGUGAACCAGUACCGUGAGGGAAAGGUGAAAAGCACCCCGGAAGGGGAGUGAAACAGUUCCUGAAACCGUGUGCCUACAAGUAGUUAGAGCCCGUUAAUGGGUGAUAGCGUGCCUUUUGUAGAAUGAACCGGCGAGUUACGAUUUGUUGCAAGGUUAAGCGGAAAAAGCGGAGCCGUAGCGAAAGCGAGUCUGAAUAGGGCGCAUAAGUAACAGGUCGUAGACCCGAAACCAGGUGAUCUACCCAUGUCCAGGAUGAAGGUAAGGUAAUACUUACUGGAGGUCCGAACCCACGCACGUUGAAAAGUGCGGGGAUGAGGUGUGGGUAGCGGAGAAAUUCCAAUCGAACUUGGAGAUAGCUGGUUCUCUCCGAAAUAGCUUUAGGGCUAGCCUCGAGGUAAAGAGUCAUGGAGGUAGAGCACUGUUUGGACUAGGGGCCCUUCUCGGGUUACCGAAUUCAGAUAAACUCCGAAUGCCAUGUACUUAUACUCGGGAGUCAGACUGCGAGUGAUAAGAUCCGUAGUCGAAAGGGAAACAGCCCAGACCACCAGUUAAGGUCCCCAAAUAUAUGUUAAGUGGAAAAGGAUGUGGGGUUGCUUAGACAACCAGGAUGUUGGCUUAGAAGCAGCCACCAUUGAAAGAGUGCGUAAUAGCUCACUGGUCGAGUGACCCCGCGCCGAAAAUGUACCGGGGCUAAACAUAUUACCGAAACUGUGGAUGAACCUCUUUAGAGGUUCGUGGUAGGAGAGCGUUCUAAGGGCGGUGAAGUCAGACCGGAAGGACUGGUGGAGCGCUUAGAAGUGAGAAUGCCGGUAUGAGUAGCGAAAGAAGGGUGAGAAUCCCUUCCACCGAAUAUCUAAGGUUUCCUGAGGAAGGCUCGUCCGCUC